GGGGCUGAAGAUAUAACUCAGUUGGUAGAGUGCUUGCCUCACAGGCACAAGGCUCCGGGUUCAAUCCCCAGCAAGCCCCA
This 80-nucleotide transfer RNA is filed under the name Marmota monax (woodchuck). RNAcentral's name for it is "tRNA.Val". The record is from RNAcentral. Lineage: Eukaryota; Metazoa; Chordata; Mammalia; Rodentia; Sciuridae.